GAUUAAGUUAUUAAGGGCGCACGGUGGAUGCCUUGGCACUAGAAGCCGAUGAAGGACGUUACUAACGACGAUAUGCUUUGGGGAGCUGUAAGUAAGCUUUGAUCCAGAGAUUUCCGAAUGGGGAAACCCAGCAUGAGUUAUGUCAUGUUAUCGAUAUGUGAAUACAUAGCAUAUCAGAAGGCACACCCGGAGAACUGAAACAUCUUAGUACCCGGAGGAAGAGAAAGAAAAUUCGAUUCCCUUAGUAGCGGCGAGCGAAACGGGAAGAGCCCAAACCAACAAGCUUGCUUGUUGGGGUUGUAGGACACUCUAUACGGAGUUACAAAGGACGACAUUAGACGAAUCAUCUGGAAAGAUGAAUCAAAGAAGGUAAUAAUCCUGUAGUCGAAAAUGUUGUCUCUCUUGAGUGGAUCCUGAGUACGACGGAGCACGUGAAAUUCCGUCGGAAUCUGGGAGGACCAUCUCCUAAGGCUAAAUACUCUCUAGUGACCGAUAGUGAACCAGUACCGUGAGGGAAAGGUGAAAAGCACCCCGGAAGGGGAGUGAAAUAGAACCUGAAACCGUGUGCUUACAAGUAGUCAGAGCCCGUUAAUGGGUGAUGGCGUGCCUUUUGUAGAAUGAACCGGCGAGUUACGAUUUGAUGCAAGGUUAAGCAGUAAAUGUGGAGCCGUAGCGAAAGCGAGUCUGAAUAGGGCGUUUAGUAUUUGGUCGUAGACCCGAAACCAGGUGAUCUACCCUUGGUCAGGUUGAAGUUCAGGUAACACUGAAUGGAGGACCGAACCGACUUACGUUGAAAAGUGAGCGGAUGAACUGAGGGUAGCGGAGAAAUUCCAAUCGAACCUGGAGAUAGCUGGUUCUCUCCGAAAUAGCUUUAGGGCUAGCCUCAAGUGAUGAUUAUUGGAGGUAGAGCACUGUUUGGACGAGGGGCUCCUCUCGGGUUACCGAAUUCAGACAAACUCCGAAUGCCAAUUAAUUUAACUUGGGAGUCAGAACAUGGGUGAUAAGGUCCGUGUUCGAAAGGGAAACAGCCCAGACCACCAGCUAAGGUCCCAAAAUAUAUGUUAAGUGGAAAAGGAUGUGGCGUUGCCCAGACAACUAGGAUGUUGGCUUAGAAGCAGCCAUCAUUUAAAGAGUGCGUAAUAGCUCACUAGUCGAGUGACACUGCGCCGAAAAUGUACCGGGGCUAAACAUAUUACCGAAGCUGUGGAUUGUCCUUUGGACAAUGGUAGGAGAGCGUUCUAAGGGCGUUGAAGCAUGAUCGUAAGGACAUGUGGAGCGCUUAGAAGUGAGAAUGCCGGUGUGAGUAGCGAAAGACGGGUGAGAAUCCCGUCCACCGAUUGACUAAGGUUUCCAGAGGAAGGCUCGUCCGCUCUGGGUUAGUCGGGUCCUAAGCUGAGGCCGACAGGCGUAGGCGAUGGAUAACAGGUUGAUAUUCCUGUACCACCUAUAAUCGUUUUAAUCGAUGGGGGGACGCAGUAGGAUAGGCGAAGCGUGCGAUUGGAUUGCACGUCUAAGCAGUAAGGCUGAGUAUUAGGCAAAUCCGGUACUCGUUAAGGCUGAGCUGUGAUGGGGAGAAGACAUUGUGUCUUCGAGUCGUUGAUUUCACACUGCCGAGAAAAGCCUCUAGAUAGAAAAUAGGUGCCCGUACCGCAAACCGACACAGGUAGUCAAGAUGAGAAUUCUAAGGUGAGCGAGCGAACUCUCGUUAAGGAACUCGGCAAAAUGACCCCGUAACUUCGGGAGAAGGGGUGCUCUUUAGGGUUAACGCCCAGAAGAGCCGCAGUGAAUAGGCCCAAGCGACUGUUUAUCAAAAACACAGGUCUCUGCUAAACCGUAAGGUGAUGUAUAGGGGCUGACGCCUGCCCGGUGCUGGAAGGUUAAGAGGAGUGGUUAGCUUCUGCGAAGCUACGAAUCGAAGCCCCAGUAAACGGCGGCCGUAACUAUAACGGUCCUAAGGUAGCGAAAUUCCUUGUCGGGUAAGUUCCGACCCGCACGAAAGGCGUAACGAUUUGGGCACUGUCUCAACGAGAGACUCGGUGAAAUCAUAGUACCUGUGAAGAUGCAGGUUACCCGCGACAGGACGGAAAGACCCCGUGGAGCUUUACUGUAGCCUGAUAUUGAAAUUCGGCACAGCUUGUACAGGAUAGGUAGGAGCCUUUGAAACGUGAGCGCUAGCUUACGUGGAGGCGCUGGUGGGAUACUACCCUAGCUGUGUUGGCUUUCUAACCCGCACCACUCAUCGUGGUGGGAGACAGUGUCAGGCGGGCAGUUUGACUGGGGCGGUCGCCUCCUAAAAGGUAACGGAGGCGCUCAAAGGUUCCCUCAGAAUGGUUGGAAAUCAUUCAUAGAGUGUAAAGGCAUAAGGGAGCUUGACUGCGAGACCUACAAGUCGAGCAGGGUCGAAAGACGGACUUAGUGAUCCGGUGGUUCCGCAUGGAAGGGCCAUCGCUCAACGGAUAAAAGCUACCCCGGGGAUAACAGGCUUAUCUCCCCCAAGAGUUCACAUCGACGGGGAGGUUUGGCACCUCGAUGUCGGCUCAUCGCAUCCUGGGGCUGUAGUCGGUCCCAAGGGUUGGGCUGUUCGCCCAUUAAAGCGGUACGCGAGCUGGGUUCAGAACGUCGUGAGACAGUUCGGUCCCUAUCCGUCGUGGGCGUAGGAAAUUUGAGAGGAGCUGUCCUUAGUACGAGAGGACCGGGAUGGACAUACCUCUGGUGUACCAGUUGUCGUGCCAACGGCAUAGCUGGGUAGCUAUGUGUGGACGGGAUAAGUGCUGAAAGCAUCUAAGCAUGAAGCCCCCCUCAAGAUGAGAUUUCCCAACUUCGGUUAUAAGAUCCCUCAAAGAUGAUGAGGUUAAUAGGUUCGAGGUGGAAGCAUGGUGACAUGUGGAGCUGACGAAUACUAAUCGAUCGAAGACUUAAUCAA
This 2923-nucleotide ribosomal RNA is filed under the name Staphylococcus aureus subsp. aureus LGA251. RNAcentral's name for it is "bacterial LSU rRNA". It matches the Rfam family "Bacterial large subunit ribosomal RNA". The record is from RNAcentral. Lineage: Bacteria; Bacillati; Bacillota; Bacilli; Caryophanales; Staphylococcaceae.